CAUAUUUACCCAUAUUUAUAUGGGCGGAUUGCAAUCCAAACCAUUUUUGUUCGAUCCAAAUUUAACCCGUCCAAAUCUAAUCCAAUCCGCCCAUUUGACACCCCCUAAUAAAAUCUAUGGUGUUCUAACCAAGACAUCUGCCCGUUUGACACCCCUAAUAAAAUCUAUGGUGUUCUAACCAAGACCCUAACUCCUCUUCCUCCUGCAACUUUAUCAUGUUUUAUCAUGUUUUAUUCUGACAAGGGAGAACAUCUAUGCGUGUUGCUUGCUCUCUAGCAUGUUUUGAUCAUGUCUUGGAUUGUUGAUUGAUGUGAAUAUUUAAUUGUUGAAUAUAAAUUCAUCUUUUCAGUAUUGCAAUGUAGAUAUGUGACAUAAAUAAUGUAGUCAUAGAUGUAAACAAUAUAACACUUGUCAACCAUAUAAUAUCAACAUGUAAAUAUACGCCGUUUAGCUAAGAAAUAUGUCCCAAUAUUGGGCCCGUGCAUUAGUACCUAGUUGAAGUAAUAAGAGCCCAGCCCUGAUGGUUCUAGUAGUGGGUUUUUACAGGCUGCUUGGGGGGUAAUAGGACAGGAUGGCUCUAGUAGUAGGUUUUUUCUGAUGAGUGUACUAUUAUGAAAACUAGGAUUUCUCAUGGUAGAAUAUUCAUAAAGAUUGAUAUUACUAAACCACUCCAAUUGAGAUCACAAUCAGGGAUGCAAAAUAAUUUCAGCAGCCCAUCCAUUUUGAUUGGAAGCCAUAAAAUUGUGAUGAUUGUAUGAUGGUGGGUCACUCAUGUCCUAAGACUAAACAACCUCAACCUGCUCCUCCUAAAACUAAGCAGGUGUAGCAGCAAAGACAAAGGCCCCCCAAACUGAUUCCUACUUGGUUUCCUAAGCUUGAAGAACCACAAGUACAAGAACAACAUGAACCAGUGCCUCCUCCUGAGAAUGUAGUUGAGUCUAUUGUAACAAAAUCACAUGCAAACAAGCUUAAUUCUGGUGAUGCUAUAGCUGGAGAUGGUAGUCUUACUCCUGUGAUAUCCAGAGGUAAUCAAGUUACCGAUUUCUAUAGCGGUAAAAAAAAUUACGCACAAACUACAUCCUUGACUAUGAAGAAUGAGUUUGAUAUCCUACAAUCUACUAAUACUGUGAUGGUUGAUCAGCUUCCUCCUGAUGCGAGGGGGACCUUAUACAAAAAUUAAUGUCUUGCCUAGCUUAGGAUGUACGAGGAUUCAAUAGAAUGUAGAAGCAAAGAGAAUUAAUUAAUUAUAUUAAGGAGAAUCAUAUAAAGUUGGUAGGGUUGAUAGAAACUAGAUAUAAAUCCAAUAAAGCAGCAGUUAUAGCACAAUCUGUAGUUCCUGGAAGGAGUAUUCUUCAUAAUUACACUAGUGCUUCCAAUGAUUGAUUAUAAGCUGCCUCAUAUGUCAGACCAUUCACUUAAGAUCCUACAUUUUCACACUUCCUAUAUUCCAACAAAGGUUCCCUUCGGGUUUUUUAAUACGUGGGUUGCUCAUGAAGAGUUUGGAGAGUUAGUUCAAAAGGCAUUGGAAUAUCAACUCUCAUGACAGCAGAAUAAGAACUGUUUGGCCCAAGUUGAAGGGGGUGAAGCCUCAUAUGAAAUUGCUUAACAAUAAUCAUUUUAGGCAUUCAACUAUCAAGGUGAAUCAAAUUAGAGAUCAGUUGCAAGUCACUCAACAUCUCUUAUCCACUCAAUAAUCAGAUUUCUUAGCACCAGAUGAGAGAGACUAGUUGCUUAAUUUGGAGAAAUAGAGUCACAUUGAAGAGGGUAUAGUUCAACAGAAGUCCAGAGCCCUAUGGAUUAAACUGGAGACUCAUAAACAAAUACUUUUCUAUUGUAAUGAAAUAAAAGAGGAACAAGAAGAAAAUAGUAGAAAUGUUGAAAUUUGCUUUAAGUUGCUAGCCAAUAAAGACCUAUUACAUGCUGCAAUGUUUUGUAUAAAUGUAUAAGCAAAAUGAUUUGCAUGAGACUAAGAGGAACCAUAAACCAUCUGGUAGCAGACAACCAGAUGCAUUUAGAGAUGCAUUGGCUCAAUAGGUAGGAGUGCAAUGGCCACCCGGAGAUACAAAACAUGUGCCAGAAGGAAUUAAAAGGAGAAGGUGGAAAAUUUGGCAGAUUGAAGGAUGAACCCCUAAACAAGAUUUAACUUACCUCAACCUCAACAACCAAGAAUCAGAUGAAAACUUAUUCAGAAAAGUAUGUCAAACAUCCAAGAAUAGUCCAUCAUUUGCUUCACCAAAGUGAGUCAUGACUCUAAAAAAAGGCAGAAAUCAUGCACUGGAUUAAGUCAUUAAGUUAUCUGUAAUAGGUCAUUCAGUCUAUUAAGUCAUUCAGUCAAAAUUUAGCUAUGCAAAAUUACUUUAGACAAGUUAAAGAUUAUCUUUAAAGCUCUAAUGCUCUAAAUUCAAAGCAACAACUUACCCAAUUUCAGACAAGUUAAAGAUUAAGCUCUAAAGCUACUCAAACUAGUAAACAAUAAAAUGACAUUGUGUCAGCACUAAAUUUUGGGUGUUUGUGUGUGUAAGUGGAUAAAAGGGUUAGACAAGAAUAGUAAUAGUCUUCUUUGGUGGGUAGCGAAACUCAUCGAACCUCCGGUGUGCAGAGAGCUACCCGUUUCAAAGGCUCGAUUUUCCUCUCCCCAUUCCCUCUUCGCCUUAUAUUCAGGAGUGUCCCAUUAUAUUAAGAACUUAGACCACACUUCAUCAUUCAACCAAUUAGGUUUUACCAAUUUACUUCGGGCCUCAUACAAGUGUUCUUUGAUCCAUAGAGCUGAUUUCAACCGAAAAAUACGGUCUACUUCAUUACCAUGGCAAUCACUCCAUGAACACUUUGUCUGAGAAACUAGUUUAAUAUAAAGUCAUAAAAUGAGUUGAUGGAUACAAUGAAAAAACUGUCUUUAGGCAAUGAGAUUCAUAGCUUAUAAAACUGCUUAUACCAUAAACUAUUUCCACAUAACAAUUCUAAUUUCGUAUGGAAUCUCUAACCAACUAUUCCACAGCUCUUUGAAAAAUGGUUUAAUUGCUUCUAUAACCAUAUGCCUGGCGGCAUAUGUUGGAAUGAACUUGCAAUAAAACUAUAUUAAACCAUCAUCUUAGCUUUUAAAAAUUAAGGAAAAACUUAAGGGUUACUUACCCAUCACAAUAAGGGACGAUUCGUAGCCUCCCAAACUUGUCAUAUUCUAAUACCUCUUUAAAUUGCAGAUUUUGAGAAGCACCUGCUUUAGCAUUAGACUCUAUAGCACUAUCAAUGGAUGGCGAUGUUGGUGUGUUAGGACCUCCAAUUCUCAAUCCAGAAAGGCUUGGUGUGGAUGAUGUCGAAGGCACAUAUGAAGAGCUACUAUGCAGAC
RNAcentral lists this long non-coding RNA (3343 nucleotides) under Capsicum annuum. Its description in RNAcentral is "long non-coding RNA (CANN_LNC014229)". Lineage: Eukaryota; Viridiplantae; Streptophyta; Magnoliopsida; Solanales; Solanaceae. The record is from RNAcentral.